AAUCCAGGCGUUGAUUUUUCAACAUUUCCAACAGGGCAUCUGUAUUACGACUCUGAUCGCAUUUCUCAUUUCUAGUCUGGCAAAAGUCUACCGUUUCGUUUUCGCCAUCAAAAAUUUCUUUAACAGAUCCAUAGAUUUCCCGUUCGACGAUCUACGUUUUGAUCAUGGCUUUGUAGUUCUUCGAUAAACCUCUCGGCUUCAAUCAUUUCUUUGACAGAUCCAUAGAUUUUCUGGUCAAUCAUCGGCGUUUCAGCAACAGGUGCUUCAGAUCUAUCAGAUUCGGUUCAAGUCGACGUGUUUUCAGGGCAUCGGAUGCUUAUAUGAAUCUGUUGAUUUGUUCUACUCAAAACAAUUCGCUUUUUGCAAUAUUUUCAGGUAGAUAUGUGAAGAUAAGUGAUCAUGAUACCCACUGGGUUCGGUAUAUUGAUUGUUGACUACUGAUGGUGUCUGAGAUUCGUAACAGAUGGUUUGAUGGAUGUUUUAUAUGUAAUUGUUUGCGAAUUACGUAGCUGUUUGAUAUUCUUUCUUUUUUAAUAUGAGGAGGGUAUAUGAUGGAGAGAGAAAGAUAGAGAAUUGUGAGAGAUGUGAAAUGUUCUAGUGACCUUUGCCAUGUCAGGUGCGCUUGCAUGGCAGGUCAAGAAAAAGCCUAAUAAAAACUUCCUUUUCUUGUGUUGAAGGGAGAUGGUACGGGGUUUUGCCCGGCACUCCCUUCCUCCGUGUCUCGUGUCCCCUUUUUAUUCUCUGAAGAAAUACUUAUAUUUUGUCUCCGUUGAUCUCUUCUUAAUGGUUUUGGCUGGUGUUGGAUUCUAAAUCCACUUCGUCCACCAUUUCCAUUUGGGGAAAAAAAGGCGUCCAUUGCAUGAUCUUCCUAUUUGAUCCAGGAAAUGAAGCCUUGGAUCAACUUCAUGAUUUUAUCUGCCAGAGGUACAAGCAAGAACACUUCUCUAAAUUUGAACCAUUAAUUCUUGUUCACUGAGCAGUUUUUUUAUCAAUUAAGAUGCGAGCAAUACUUGCAUACUCAAUCUGAAGUCAUUCUCCGUUGAUACAUUUUAUAAUGUUAUUGACUAUUAACAUAAAAUCAGAGGUGCAAUAUAUAUAUAUUCGCAUUGGUGCCAAUUUACUAUUCUUUCAAUUAUGAGGGCACAAUCUAGAGGGAAGUUUUGAAAAAUUAACUAUUUUGACAUGAUCAAACCAUUACUAAUUUUUGUAGAAGUCUUUACAUGGGUGUUAUUUUUGUACUUCGUGUCUUAUUUUGCUGUUAUUUCUUCAAUGAAGAGAAAAAAAGUGAUUAAUGGUAUAAUUUUCUGAGCCCUUUUGGGAGAUCUCAUCUUUUAAUAAUCCAUGUCUGUUUUUGUCUCUAGCAUGAUUCCAGUUUGUCAUUUAUUGGUUUUUCCUUCUGUAAGGUUGCCAAAAAAGGUAUUAAUGUAUAAACUGGGUCAUCUUGUAAUAUCAUGGAGCUGUGCAUGUGUAGGAUAUUCAUGACGAGGUUGCAGUUGUAUAUUAGUUACUAUAGGUAUUUUGUCAUGGGAUUCUGGAUUCUGGCUCUUGAUGGGUUGUAACCACAGAAUCUCUUGGGGUCGUGCAUACACCAUGAUGGGUUAUACUAGUUUCAAAAUGUCCCUUAUAACCUGUUCAUUAUAGGGGGAGAAGAGCGAGAUUUGCUUAUAGCGGAGUAGCCUGGCUUUUCAACAUCAGCGGAAUGAAGCUCAUUGCUGUUCAAUGCUCUGCAUGGAGGUCAUGUAGCAAUUGUGGGAGCUCUUCAUGGUUUGGUUGUGGCAGAAUAUUGUCAGAUGUUGCCUUAAAUUCUUUUGGGUGAUAUCAUCUGGAAUGUUUCCCUACUGCAUCAGGUUUAAUAUGGUUAUGCUCAUCUGAUUACAGUGCCAGGUUGGAACUGCUUUGCUUCAGCUAUAACUUGGGGAGAAUAGCUUGUUAGUCUUGCUUUGGGAUCUUGUUUAUGCGGUUCUGAACGAGAUGUUGCAGUGUUUUGCAGCUGUCGUGGUGCUGAUCUUUUGUUGCCAUAAGACAUUUUGAAGGGUUUGAGAUGUAAAAUGUUCUUGUGCUUGUCAACCGACCUUUGCCAUGUCAGGUUCGCUUGCAUGGCAGGUCUAGGAAAAACCUAAUAAAAAUUCUCUUUUCUUGUGUUGAAGGGAGAUGGCACGGGGUGUUGCCCAGCUCUCCCUUCAUGUGUGUCUCAUGUCCCCUUUUUUCUUGUUCUUCCAGAGAGAUCAUCGUGCUUUCAAUUUGUUGGCCUGUUGACUGGUUUGGUUUGUGUCUACCAGAUACUACAUCCACUCCAUAGGCUAUAAUCAGAAAUGCAGAGUUGGAUAUGCGUUAUCUUCAUAUCAAUCUGAGAAUUGCUGGGUUAGAUCAACAUAGAGAGUUUAUCUGCAAGAGGUACAAGUCAAAACCCUUAGUUUAUUUUGCUUUUAAUUCUUACACAUUGUGUAGUUUUUAAUCUGAUACACACAUAAAAAUUUGCUACCAAUCGAGAUUUAAGGUUAUAGGCUAAUCUCAUGUUCAAGUUAUAGGCUGUUAGCUUCAAAUUAAAUGUGGCAUUACAUUGACUGAAUUAGUAUUGUUCCAAUAAUGAAAUGACCAUCUAGAGUGAGCAUUUGCAGUUUGUCUCCAAAUUCAAAUCGUGUUUAAUUGAUUUUUCUUAUUAAGGAUGCCAAUAAUGUUCUUACAAAGCUAAGUCAAGAUCUGUUUGUGGUGGAAUGGUUCUACUUUUCAACCUCAACGGUGUGAUGGUGAUGGCUGUUCAAAGCUGCCUGCCUGGAGGUCUUAGCGGUUGUGGAAGCUCUUCAUGUCUUUGGUGAUGGCAAAAGAUUAGUGUUAACGGUCGCCCUAUCCUUUUUCUCAAUGAUUAAAUUUGCUAUUGGGUGUGAUGUCAUCUGGUAUGUUUCUCGAUUGUGUCAGGUUUAAUGUGUUAUGCUGAUCCGAUUAUUGUGCGAGGUAGGAACUGCUCUGCGUCAUCUAUAUUUUGUGGAGAUUGGAGAAUAAUUUGUUUGUCUUGCUUUGGGAUUUGAUUAAGUGAUUCUGAAUGAGCUGGUCGCGUUUUGCAGCUGUUCUUUGUUGAUCUCUUGAUGCCACAAAAUGUUCAAAGAUUGAGAUGUAAAAAGUUAUAGUGUUUGUCACCUGACCUUUGCCAUGUAGGUGCGCUUGCAUGGCAGGUCCAGAAAAACCUAAUAAAAUUUUUCUUUCUUAUGGUGAAGGGAGAUGGUAUGGGGUUUUGCCUGGCUCUCCCUUCCCGUGUGUCUCGUGUUCCCUUUUAUUUGUUCGUCCAGAAUGAUCUCGAUGCUUAUUUUGUAGGCCUUUUGGAUGGUUUUGGUUGGGGGGUGUGGCAUACUAAAUCAACUCCAUAGACCAUACUGAGAAAUGCAGGGUUGGGUAUGCGCUAACUUCAUAUCAAUCUGGGAAUUACAGGGUUCGAUCAACUUUGUGAGUUUAUCUGCAAGAGGUACAAGCUAGAAGAAUCCUUUGCUUGUUUUGCCUUUUUGAUUAUUAUUCAUUGGUCAGUUUUAAAUCAUCUCCAAGCACGAUCUAAGGUUAUCAUCUUAUCAUCUAUUAAUCUCAUUUUUAAGUUAUAGGCUAUUAACUUCAAAUCAAAUGUGGUAUUACAUUGUCUGAAUCAUUGCAAGCACUUACUGUUUUAUGUCACCAAAUUCAAUCCAAGUCAUUUUUUUUUGGGCAUGGGAUGCUUGGAUUCUGAUUGUUGUGAUUAUAGAAAUUUACUUUCGGCGGAUUUUGGAUUUACGAUGUAUUAUACUACUGGUUACAAAGAUUCCUAUUGUAACCUGUUAAUCCUAGGGGAAGAAGAUAAAGAUUUGUUCUUGGCAGAAUUGUUCAACUUUUCAAGCUCAGCAGUGUGAUCGCAAUUGCUAUUCAAUGCUGCAUGGAGGUCUUGUAGCCUUUGUGGAGCUCUUCAUGGCUGGUGGUAGCAAAAGAUUAUUGUCAGUGGUUUCCCUACUCUGAAUUUUGAAUUUGCUUUUGAUUAAUAUCAUUCAUUCAGAAAUGCAGAGUUGGAUAUGCGUUAUCUUCGUAUCAAUCUGAGAAUUUCUGGGUUAGAUCAACUUAUUGAGUUUAUCAGCAAGAGGUACAAGCCAAAAAACAACCCUUAGUUUAUUUUGCUUUUAAUUCUUAUACAUUGUGUAGUUUUUAAUCUAAUACACUCUUACAAAUUUGCUUCCAAGUGAGAUUUAAGGUUAUAGGCUAAUCUCAUGUUCAAGUUAUAGGCUGUUAGCUUCAAAUUAAAUGUGGCAUCACAUUGACUGAAUUAGUAUUGUUCCAAUAAUGAAAUGACCAUCUAGAGUGAGCAUUUGCUGUUUUCUGUCUCCAAAUUCAAACCAUGUUUAAUUGAUUUUUCUUAUUAAGGAUGCGAAUAAUGUUCUUAAAAAGCUAAGUCAUCUUGGAAUAUCAUGGAGUAGUGCAGUGGCACAACAUUGAAUGUUCUUAUAGAAGCCUUCUGUUUUUUUGUUUGUUUGUGGGGCUGGGGAUUUUGUUCUAUGAUGUGUUAGUUUGGUUAGGAAAUGUCUGUAACCUGUUCAUCAUAGGGGGAGAAAUCAAGAUCUGUUUGUGGGGGAAUGGUUCUACUUUUCAACCAUCAACGGUGUGAUGGUGAUGGCUGUUCAAUGCUGCCUGCCUGGAGGUCUUGUAGCUGUUGUGGAAGCUCUUCUUGUCUUUGGUGAUGGCAAAAGAUUAAUGUUAGCGGUCACCCUAUCCUUUUUCUCAGUGACUAAAUUUGCUCUUGGGUGAUAUCAUCUGGAAUGUUUCUCGAUUGCGUCAGGUUUAAUAUGUUGUGCUGAUCCGAUUAUUGUGCGAGGUUGGAACUGCUUUGCGUCAUCUAUAUUUUGUGGAGAUUGGAGAAUAAUUUGUUUGUCUUGCUUUGGGAUUUGAUUAUGUGAUUCUGAAUGAGCUGGUCGCGUUUUGCAGCUUUUCUUUGUUGAUCUCUUGAUGCCACAAAACGUUCGAAGGUUGAGAUGUAAAAAUAGUGUUUGUCACCUGACCUUUGCCGGGUUGAGAUGUAAAAAGUUAGUGUUUGUCACCUGACCUUUGCCAUGCAGGUGCGCUUGCAUGGCAGGUCCAGAAAAUCCUAAUAAAAAUUUUCUUUCUUGUGGUGAUGGGAGAUGGUACGGGGUUUUGCCUGGCUCUCCGUUCCCGUGUGUCUCGUGUUCCCUUUAUUUUGUUCCUCCAGAAUGAUCUCGAUGCCUAUUUUAAUGAUCUUGAGGCCUAUUUUUUAGGCCGUUUGAAUGGUUUUGGUUGGAGUGUGUGAAGUACUAAAUCAACUCCAUAGACCAUACUGAGAAAUGCAGGGUUUGGUAUGCGCUAACUUCAUAUCAAUCUGGGAAUUACAUCGAUCAAUUUUGUGAGAUUAUCUGCAAGAGGUACAACCAGAAGAAUCCUUUGUUUGUUUUGCCUUUGAUUAUUUUUCAUUGGUUAGUUUUAAAUCAUCUCCAAGCACAAUCUAAGGUUAUCAUCUUAUCAUCUAUUAAUCUCAUUUUUAAUUAAUAGGCUAUUAACUUCAAAUCAAAUGUGGUAUUACAUUGACUGAAUCAUUGCAAGCACUUACUGUUUUACGUCACCAAAUUGAAAUCCAAGUCAUUUUGGAAUAUCAAGAAAUUGUACAGUUGCAGUUAACUUGGUAUGUGGGCUUGGGAUGCUUGGAUUCUGAUUGUUGUGAUUAUAGAAAUUUACUUUCGGGGGAUUUUGGUUUUACGAUGUAUUAUACUACUGGUUACAAGGAUUCCUAUUGUAACCUGUUAAUCCUAGGGGAAGAAGAUAAAGAUUUGUUCGUGGCAGAAUGGUUGGUGUGAUCUCAAUGGCUAUUCAAUGCUGCAUGGAGGUCUUGUAGCUGUUGUGGAGCUCUUCAUGGCUGGUGGUGGCAAAAGAUUAUUUUCAGUGGUUUCCCUAUCUUUAUUCUCUGAAUUUUGAAUUUGCUUUUGAUUAAUAUCAUUCGUUAUAUUUUACUGCUGCUCAGGAUUCGGGGAGAUGUACUGGUUUGCCUGGCUCUCACUUUCUGUAUGUCCAGUGCCCUCCCAUUUCUCCAAACGAAUCUUUAUAGUUUAUUCUUUCCCUGUGUUGCUCUCUUGAAUGGUUUUGGUUGGUGAUCGAUUCUAAAUCCACUGUGUUACAUACCCAUUUGAGGCAAAACUUCCUUUUGUGUGAUCUUCGUAUGGACUGAGGAAAUCAAGGUUUGGAUCAACUUCAUAAUUUGUUAUCUGCAAGAGGUACAAGCAAAAACACCUGUACAUUUUUCUGUUAAUUCUCAUUCAUCACACAACUUUUAUCAAACUCAUGUUUUUAAAUAAAGAAUGCACUAUAUAUAGUGAAGCCUUGAGAUAUUAUCUAUUUUGGCUCUUGACUUGUAAGCAAAUUUUUUUUUUUCUGCCUCGAAAUCCAAAUGUACUUUAUUUGAUUUUCCUUCUGUAAAGAUGCCAAUUUUGAUACUAAUGUAAAAAGCCAAGUCAUCUUGGAAAUAUAGUCUGCCUCGAAAUCAAAAUGUACUUUAUUUGAUUAUCCUUCUAUAAAGAUGCCAAUUGUGAUACUAAUGUAAAAAGCCAAGUCAUCUUGGAAAUAUAGUGGGGCCCUAAUGAGGAGUUUGCAGUUGUAUGGUAGUUAUAUAUUAGUAUCUGAACUUGCUACUUAUCAAAAAAAAAAAAAAAAAUAUUAGUAUCUGAACUUGUGUUGAUUGUAAAUUUGUGAUUUUAUUACUUCCCGGGGAUUGGAAUUGAAAUUAUUACUGGUCCCAAAAUAUCUCUGAAUCUGUUCAUCAUAGGGGGAAGUCCAAGAUAUAUUGAUAACCUCAGCAGUGUGAUGGUGAUUGCUGUUUGAUGUGUCGUGGCUGCUGUGGAAGCUCUUCAUGGCUUGGUGCUGACAAAAUAGUGGUGCCUAUCUUCUUUAUGAUGAUGUAUGAAUUUGCUUUGGUUGAUAUCCUCCCCAGGUUUGUUAUGACGUGCCGUUUUAUAUGGAGUACAACUUUUUUUUGUCUUGCUUAUUAUAUUCUGGUUUAAAUAGUUUUGCAGCUGCUCUGUUAUCAUCUUGUGAGGCCAUAAAAUAUUCUAUGAAUGCCAGUUUAUAAUUUGUAAUGUCUUACUGAAAUUUGGGUGAAGUACAUAGUGAUUUGGUGCUUUUGUUGGUGAUAUACAAUAAUGCCCUUUUUAUUUUUAUUUUUAUUUCUUGAACUUGAAGUUCUGGUAUUGUCACUUAUAUUCACUGUUUUCUGCUUUUACUCGGAGCAAUCAGUGCCCACUGCCCACUGCCCACUAUUAAUUCUGUCUCUCACAGUGUGUACAGUGUUUUAUGUUCUACGGUCAACCUUGGAAGAUUUUUGGAUUUCCUUUGUAUUGUUCCGUGCGGAAUGAUUAUCAUUUGGGCCUGAGGUAAAAUUAGAUUUAUAAUUUACUUUCUUGUGAGUGUUGUAAUUUAUAAUUGAGUUUUAGUCAAGUUUGUUUUCCCAAAAAAAUUGUCUAGUAGGUUGGAGGAUAAAGCAACUGAUUUGAGCUCAAGGCAUUGCAACUUAUUUCUCAUUUACCUUGGGUUGUGGUCUGAUCAUACCAUUUAUCCAACUUUUAUUUGCUUAGAAGA
Cornus florida is the source of this 7581-nucleotide long non-coding RNA. RefSeq lists it as uncharacterized. The transcript is spliced from 3 exons. Lineage: Eukaryota; Viridiplantae; Streptophyta; Magnoliopsida; Cornales; Cornaceae. The record is from RefSeq and is a predicted model, not a curated record.